Mercenaria mercenaria is the source of this 651-nucleotide long non-coding RNA. RefSeq lists it as uncharacterized. NCBI's taxonomy places the organism in Eukaryota, Metazoa, Mollusca, Bivalvia, Venerida, Veneridae. The record is from RefSeq and is a predicted model, not a curated record. The transcript has 2 exons.
UAAGCCACAAUACGUAUGUCUGGAGUCUGCUUUUCAAGGCAACAUUCCCAUUUCUUUAGAGCCAUUCUGAAAGAAAAACUGGACUUGGUUCACACUGACAGACAAGUGAUUUUAGUAGAAAAGGUGUCAGUUUUCAAAUCAAGAAGGAAUAACAAACUCAAAUCCAGAGGGAACAAACAAAAGAAGACCUGGACAACAUGAAGUCACUUAAACUAACUCUGAUUCUUAUUUCGCUGGCAAUCAUCACUCUCGUGAUAGAUAUUCAAGGUCAACUAUGUGAUCAAAAAACAUGCAAAGAUACCAAAGGCAGAUGCGCAAGGAAAGGACAAGGUAUGAAAUGUGCAAGGGUAGGGCGAACCUGUCGCUGCAAGUCAAGCUUAAUUCUGAACAAAUUUCCUCCGUUUUACGAGAAACAAUCGGUUAAUGGACUCGAAGCCACACUUGGCAUUUCUCUCAAUAUACAGAGUAACGGAAAUGCUGGAAGUGUCAUUGACAAUGACAAUACAAAUGACACAGAGUACUGACUGAUUUCAUGUUGUAAAUGGAAUAAUUAAUAUACUGAACGUGGUUUGUCGUGGAUACAGUUUUACCAAAUUGAAUGCUGAUUGUUAUGGUGAAACAAUUAGUAUAUAAAUAAUGUAGUUUACCAUA